CCGUGCUAGCUGGGGCAGUAGCGGCUCCCUGUAACCCGCAAUCCGCUAUAGCGGGGGUGACGCCCGUCCGAGGCUCCUUUUUUGUGAGGUCAGUUUUCCGUAAGUGGCGUUGACGGCUUGGUUCCGCGCAAUAGAACUUUGCGAAUCGAGUCAGGGCCGGAAGGCAGCAGCUAUAAGCGAAGCCAUCUGUGUGCCGCGGAGGCGCCUGGCCUGAGCAAACUGCGGAGGGAACGCUUGGAAAGAAAUGUCGGAGACGGGCGCACGG
This 265-nucleotide signal recognition particle RNA is filed under the name Clostridiales bacterium. RNAcentral's name for it is "signal recognition particle sRNA large type". It matches the Rfam family "Bacterial large signal recognition particle RNA". From Rfam's summary of the family: The signal recognition particle (SRP) is a universally conserved ribonucleoprotein involved in the co-translational targeting of proteins to membranes. Archaeal SRP consists of a 7S RNA and homologues of the eukaryotic SRP19 and SRP54 proteins. The record is from RNAcentral. Lineage: Bacteria; Bacillati; Bacillota; Clostridia; Eubacteriales.